GACCUUCGGGAGCCUAUACAGGUGUUGCAUGGCUGUCGUCAGCUCGUGUCGUGAGAUGUUCGGUUAAGUCCGCUAACGAGCGCAACCCUCGUCAUAUGUUAUAUGUGUCAUACGAGACUGCCGGUAAAAAGCCGGAGGAAGGUGAGGAUGAUGUCAAGUCAGCAUGACCUUUAUAUCCAGGGCUACACACACGCUACAAUGGUCUGUACAAUGGGUAGCCAAGCCGCGAGGCGGAGCCAAUCCUGAAAGCAGGCCUCAGUUCAGAUUGCAGUCUGCAACUCGACUGCAUGAAGCCGGAGUUGCUAGUAACCGCAGGUCAGCAAUACUGCGGUGAAUACGUUCCCGGGUCUU
RNAcentral lists this ribosomal RNA (351 nucleotides) under uncultured Anaerolineaceae bacterium. Its description in RNAcentral is "bacterial SSU rRNA". It matches the Rfam family "Bacterial small subunit ribosomal RNA", at positions 1013 to 1382 of the family's 1533-position model. The record is from RNAcentral. Lineage: Bacteria; Bacillati; Chloroflexota; Anaerolineae; Anaerolineales; Anaerolineaceae.